CAUGCAAGUCGAGCGAGAAGCUAACUUCGGUUAGUGGACAGCGGCGCACGGGUGAGUAACGCGUGGGAAUUUACCUUUCGGCGGGGGACAACAGUUGGAAACGACUGCUAAUACCGCAUACGCCCUACGGGGGAAAGAUUUGUCACCGAAAGAUAGGCCCGCGUUAGAUUAGGUAGUUGGUAGGGUCAAAGCCUACCAAGCCGACGAUCUGUAGCUGGUUUGAGAGAACGAUCAGCCACACUGGAACUGAGACACGGUCCAGACUCCUACGGGAGGCAGCAGUGGGGAAUCUUGCACAAUGGGCGAAAGCCUGAUGCAGCCAUGCCGCGUGAGUGAGAAGGCCUUCGGGUUGUAAAACUCUUUUAGAUGUGAAGAUGAUGACGGUAACAUCAGAAAAAGCACCGGCUAACUUCGUGCCAGCAGCCGCGGUAAUACGAAGGGUGCUAGCGUUGUUCGGAAUUACUGGGCGUAAAGAGCGUGUAGGCGGCUUAGCAAGUUAGAGGUGAAAUCCCAGGGCUCAACCCUGGAACUGCCUUUGAUACUGCUAGGCUUGAGAUCGUGAGGGGAUAGCGGAAUACCCAGUGUAGAGGUGAAAUUCGU
Molecule: ribosomal RNA, 600 nt
Filed under: uncultured Alphaproteobacteria bacterium
Lineage: Bacteria; Pseudomonadati; Pseudomonadota; Alphaproteobacteria
Description: bacterial SSU rRNA
Rfam family: Bacterial small subunit ribosomal RNA
Source: RNAcentral